AUUGAACGCUGGCGGCAGGCCUAACACAUGCAAGUCGAGCGAGCGGCGGACGGGUGAGUAAUGUAUGGGGACUGCCCGAUAGAGGGGGCAAACUACUGGAAACGGUAGCUAAUACCGCAUACUAUCGGAUAACCCAUAUGGGAUUAGCUAGUAGGUGAGGUAAUGGCUCACCUAGGCGACGAUCCCUAGCUGGUCUGAGAGGAUGAUCAGCGAAACUGGUACUGAGAAGCGGCCCAGACGCCUACGGGGGCAGCAGUGGGGAAUAAAGCACAAUGGGCGCAAGCCUGAUGCAGCCAUGCCGCGUGUAUGAAGAAGGCCCUAGGGUUGUAAAGUACUUUCAGUCGGGAGGCGUUACCGAAAGAAGAAGCACCGGCUAACUCCGUGCCAGCCGCCGCGGUAAUAC
This 403-nucleotide ribosomal RNA is filed under the name uncultured bacterium. Its description in RNAcentral is "partial 16S ribosomal RNA". It matches the Rfam family "Bacterial small subunit ribosomal RNA", at positions 30 to 526 of the family's 1533-position model. The record is from RNAcentral.